GGGAUGCAGUCUGGGACACGUAGUUGCAAACCUAGCGACUUUGUUGUUAGAUUCAAUGACUUUUCAGACCCCCUAACGACUUUUUUUUAGAAAGAAAGGGACUUUUAUCUACUUCUUCUGGAGUUUAGAGACUCUGACAUGAAGCAGGCUUUCCUUACUGAGGAGUUAGCAACGCUGCUAAGGGUGCAGAGCCACACAUGCGCUCAGAGCUCUGCAUGGGAGACUGAAGCUGACAGAGCUGCAGCAGUUAGCAGGUUUCACCCUCAGAGACCACCAGGGGUUCAUGUUGAGGCAUUUUUUUUUUUUUUUUUUUUGUGCCAUAGACACUGUCAGCACAAUCUGCAGUUACACUAACAAAAAUGCUGCAAAAAACAAAGAAUUGUGGAAAAAUUACACAUGGACUGACAUAGAGGAGGAUCUACACAAGUAUUUUACAUCAUGUUUUACAUCAUGCAUCAUUUACAUCAUGUUUUUUUGUAGUGGCAUAAAUAAAAAGUGACAUUUGUGAGACUAUACAGUGUUUUGUAAAUAAUUUUACAAAGAACGCCUGGGCCAUUGCCUGCAUUUUGAUGUAAAUAGAGGUAAAUCACUAUGUUCUUUGUUAAAAAUUUGCAUAUGUUUUGAAGUUUACAAUUUUUAUUUGAAGUUUAAGUUUUAAAAACAGUUCAUCACACAUAUUUGUGGUUUUCACAGUAAAAAUGUUACUUUUUUCCACUCGGAUUUUAUGUUUUGUGUGUGAAUUUGGGUCCAUUGUGUAAAUUCAGUAUGUCAACAUGAUAAAAUAACUGUAAAUUCGCACAGGUGAGGUUGUGCUGAAAAAAAUGAUACCAGGCAAGGCACGUGAUUGUCAAAUUUUGUGUCAAUAUGACAAAGCGUAUAGGCGUGAAUCUCAACAAUAUGUAUUUUCACCUUAAGGGACAAGAAAAAAUUGACUUUUUUCUCCUGCCAUGGGGGGGGGCGCUCUUUUGGGGAGUAAAAAUUCCUUCACAAAUGUGUUGAUGGCUGGACAUUGCAUCAUCCUAGAAAACUUGGAGGCCAGUGAGGACAAAAAUAAAAAGUUAUAAGACUUUUAAAUAUGUGGAUUUUAGGGUUAUCUUUGGCGCCCCCUAGAACCUAAACCGUGGGGUGCAGCGUCAUGAUUUUGAUAACUUUUAAUGGCCAUGGGGUGUAGAUUGGCCUGAGCAAAUGUGGUGCCGGUGGAACGAAAGCCUUAGGAGGAGUUAGCCACAUUCCAAUGUGUGCGGAUCGGCAAAAAAUGUGGAAUAACCCUUUAACCGUACAUUUGACAGAUACGCGCGCAUUGACUUUUUCGUAGAUCUUAUUGAGUUACAUGUGUGUGUCAAUUUUUGUGUCAUUUUGACAAAGCGUAUAGGCGUGACACUCAACAAUGUGUAUUUUCACCUUAGGGGACAAGAAAAAAUUGACUUUUUUCUCCUGCCAUGGGGGGGCGCUCUUUUGGGGAGUAAAAAUUCCUUCACAAAUGUGUUGAUGGCUGGACAUUGCAUCAUCCUAGAAAACUUGGAGGCCAGUGAGGACAAAAAUAAAAAGUUAUAAGACUUUUAAAUAUGUGGAUUUUAGUGUUAUCUUUGGCGCCCCCUAGAACCUAAACCUUGGGGUGCAGCGUCAUGAUUUUGAUAACUUUUAAUGGCCACGGGGUGUAGAUUGGCCUGAGCAAAUGUGGUGCCGGUGGAACGAAAGCCUUCGGAGGAGUUAGCGAAAUUCCAAUGUGUGCGGAUCGGCAAAAAAUGCGAAAUAACCCUUUAACCGUAAUUUUGACAGAUACGGCCGCACUGACUUUUUUGUAGAUCUUAUUGAGAUACAUAUGUGUGUCAAUUUUUGUGUCAAUAUGACAAAGCGUACAGGCGUGACAGUCAAUAGUGUGAAUUUCCACCUUAGGGGGCGCUAUGGAGCCAUUUUGCAUUUUAUUGUUUGGGCGACUUCAGAAUAUCGAAUUUUUCACCAGGCCCGGUCGUCCUGCCAAAUUUCAUGAGUUUUCGCCAGUGGGAAGUGGGCCAUUUUCCAGUUCAAAGGGGAGGAAAAAGAAGAAAGAAAGAAAGAAACUAGGGCCCCGUUGGGGCACUGGCGGGCCCGAGCCGUGUCACGCCGCCCCCAGCGCGACCGCCUCCCCCACCCGAUCGCGUCACACUCAAGGUCCAAAGAUGGUGUGCGCACUUGUUUGUGGUCAUUUACCAUUAUAAUGAACGGGAGGCGCAGUUUCUACCAAAACGCUCGCUGCAGAAAAACUCAAUGUCCUAUUUGAAAAAAGUCUGGACCAUGAGUGAGGGCACAAACACAGCUAAGAUAUAUCCAAAUGGCAAGUUGCUCCUCCUUUCGCUUUUGCCGAGAGAGCAGUGCGUUUGAGCCAUUGAAUGAUGAACAGGAAAAACUUGACUUUAUUCUCCUGCCAUGGGGGGGCGCUCUUUUAAAGAGAAAAAACUCCUUCACAAAUGUGUUGAUGGCUGGACAUUGCAUCAUCCUAGAAAACAUGGAGGCCAGUGAGGACAAAAAUAAAAAGUUAUAAGACUUUUAAAUAUGUGGAUUUUAGGGUUAUAUUUGGCGCCCCCUAGAACCUAAACCGUGGGGUGCAGCGUCAUGAUUUGAAUAACUUUUAAUGGCCAUGGGGUGUAGAUUGGCCUGAGCAAAUGUGGUGCCGGUGGAACGAAAGCCUUCGGAGGAAUUAGCAAAAUUCCAAUGUGUGCGAAUCUGCAAAAAAUGCGAAAUAACCCUUUAACCGUACAUUUUACAGAUACGUGGCCAUUGACUUUUUCGAAGAUAUUAUGUAAAUACACGUGUAUGUAAAAUUUUGUGUCAAUACGCUAAACAUACAGGCGUAGCACUCAACAAUGUGUAUUUUCACCUUAGUGGACAAGAAAAAAUUGACUUUUUUCUCCUGCCAUGGGGGGGCGCUCUUUUGCCGAGUAAAAAUUCCUUCACAAAUGUGUUGAUGGCUGGACAUUGCAUCAUCCUAGAAAACUUGGAGGCCAGUGGGGACAAAAAUAAAAAGUUAUAAGACUUUUAAAUAUGUGGAUUUUACGGUUAUCUUUGGCUCCCCCUAGAACCUAAACCGUGGGGUGCAGCAUCAUGAUUUGAAUAACUUUUAAUGGCCAUGGGGUGUAGAUUGGCCUGAGCAAAUGUGGUGCCGGUGGACUGAAAGCCUUCGGAGGAGUUAGCGAAAUUCCAAUGUGUGCGGAUCGGCAAAAAAUGCGGAAUAACCCUUUAACCGUACAUUUGACAGAUACGCGCGCAUUGACUUUUUCGUAGAUCUUAUUGAGAUACAUGUGUGUGUCAAUUUUUGUGUCAUUUUGCCAAAGCGUACAGGUGUUACACUCAACAAUGUGUAUUUUCACCUUAGGGGACAAGAAAAAAUGGACUUUUUUCUCCUGCCAUGGGGGGGCGCUCUUUUGGGGAGUAAAAAUUCCUUCACAAAUGUGUUGAUGGCUGGACAUUGCAUCAUCCUAGAAAACUUGGAGGCCAGUGAGGGCAAAAAUAAAAAGUUAUAAGACUUUUAAAUAUGUGGAUCUUAGGGUUAUCUUUGGCGCCCCCUAGAACCUAAACCGUGGGGUGCAGCGUCAUGAUUUGAAUAACUUUUAAUGGCCAUGGGGUGUAGAUUGGCCUGAGCAAAUGUGGUGCCGGUGGAACGAAAGCCUUCGGAGGAGUUAGCGAAAUUCCAAUGUGUGCACAUCGGCAAAAAAUGCGAAAUAACCCUUUAACCGUACAUUUGACAGAUACGCCCGCACUGACUUUUUUGUAGAUCUUAUUGAGAUACAUGUGUGUGUCAAUUUUUGUGUCAUUUUGACAAAGCGUACCGGCGUGACAGUCAAUAGUGUGAAUUUUCACCUUAGGGGGCGCUAUGGAGCCAUUUUGCAUUUUCUUGUUUGGGCGACUUCGGAAUAUCAAAUUUUUCACCAGGCCCGGUCGUCCUGCCAAAUUUCAUGAGUUUUCGCCAGUGGGAAGUGGGCCAUUUUCCAGUUCAAAGGGGAGGAAAAAUAAUAACUAGGACCCCGUUGGGGCACUGGCGGGCCCGAGCCGUGUCGCGUCCCCCCCCCCAACGUGCUGCCUCCCCGUCCCAUUUGUGUCCUCUGGCCAUCGCCCUCUCUGGUAACGCCCAUCACUGCAAAGACCCUUUUCCUUCAUCGGCGUUUGCUGUUCUUCCUGCCAGUGCGUGUUGCUUUCACUUACACUUGCCACAGCCAGCCUCGUGAGUGCCUAGCCUAUUGGAUAUCACUGUCACCUACACAGGACAGUCAUUACCUUUCUAUUAAUACUUUGUGUUUUAAUUUCACAUUAAUUUCCAUAUUGUAUAAACGACUGGAAAAAACUUGAGCCCCUGCCCCUGUAUAAUCAUGUGCAUGUCUCUGUUCUAGCUCCAAGGUGAAUCUUCACUGCUCAUGUUCUCCUCAGAAGCACUCACCUCACUCCCCUCAGGUUACUGUACACAUGCACCAACUGCCUGCUUCAGGUUUGGAUGGAGCUUCAUGGUUGUCUUUUGGAGAAAUGACCAGUCAAGUUGUGUUUGAAAUUUGAUUUUUUUCAGGGGCAAAAGGAGCCUCUGCAUUCUUGUCAAAUAUGUAAAUAGCUUGUUUUUGCAGGUGCUAAAAACCAGACUCUGAGUGUGUGUGUGUGUGUGUGUGUGUGUGUGUGUGUGUGUGUGUGUGUGUGUGUGUGUGUGUGUGUGCGUGUGUGUGUGUCUGUGUGUGCGUUCAAGUCACAUGACAUAUUUAACCGGAUGUAGCUGCAAGACCGGAGCCUCGUUGACUCUCCGUUUCAACUUAUCUCAAAAGUGAGGACCUCAACCUAUAUACCAGUUUUUAAAUUGUGUUGAUAGGCCAAAUAAAACCAGAGUUAUGAUAAAUUAUGUCCGCGAUACUUUUUUUCUGCUUAUUUUGAUCACGUUCGGCGCUCGAUCGCGCUGUAUGAGACAGGAAAACAUAGCAUGCAGACAUUAGCGACAGGUCUUACAGGCGGAAAAGGCUUGCCAAAAGAAAAAAAAAAAACACACCACAACAUCUCUCCUAUUGGUGGAAAACUUCACCACAACAACCAAUCCAAAAUUAUAUGGUGACUGAUUGACAAGGGGCGUGCGCUUACGUUCUUCCUGCAACAUGAGAAGGGAGGGAGGGACUCUCAGCAGGGAUGCAGUCUGGGACACGUAGUUGCAAACCUAGCGACUUUGUUGUUAGAUUCAAUGACUUUUCAGACCCCCUAACGACUUUUUUUUAGAAAGAAAGUGACUUUUAUCGACUUCUUCUGGAGUUUAGAGACUCUGACAUGAAGCAGGCUUUCCUUACUGAGGAGUUAGCAACGCUGCUAAGGGUGCAGAGCCACACAUGCGCUCAGAGCUCUGCAUGGGAGACUGAAGCUGACAGAGCUGCAGCAGUUAGCAGGUUUCACCCUCAGAGACCACCAGGGGUUCAUGUUGAGGCAUUUUAAUUUUUUUUUUUUUUUGUGCCAUAGACACUGUCAGCACAAUCUGCAGUUACACUAACAAAAAUGCUGCAAAAAACAAAGAAUUAUGGAAAAAUUACACAUGGACUGACAUAGAGGAGGAUCUACACAAGUUUUUUACAUCAUGUUUUACAUCAUGCAUCAUUUACAUCAUGUUUUUUUGUAGUGGCAUAAAUAAAAAGUGACAUUUGUGAGACUAUACAGUGUUUUGUAAAUAAUUUUACAAAGAACGCCUGGGCCAUUGCCUGCAUUUUGAUGUAAAUAGAGGUAAAUUACUAUGUUCUUUGUUAAAAAUUUGCAUAUGUUUUGAAGUUUACAAUUUUUAUUUGAAGUUUAAGUUUUAAAAACAGUUCAUCACACAUAUUUGUGGUUUAAUUUCACAUUAAUUUCCAUAUUGUAUAAAUGACUGGAAAAAACUUGAGCCCCUGCCCCUGUAUAAUCAUGUGCACGUCCCUGUUCUAGCUCCAAGGUGAAUCUUCACUGCUCAUGUUCUCCUCAGAAAUAGUCACCUCACUCCCCUCAGGUUACUGUACACAUGCACCAACUAUCUGCUUCAGGUUUGAAAUGGAGCUUCAUGGUUGUCUUUUGGAGAAAUGAACAGUCAAGUUGUGUUUGAAAUUUGAUUUUUUUCAGGGGCAAAAGGAAGCCUCUGCAUUCUUGUCAAAUAUGUAAACAGCAUGUUUUUGCAGGUGCUAAAAAACAGACUCUGAGUGUGUGUGUGUGUGUGUCUGUGUGUGUGUGUGUGUGUGUGUGUGUGUGUGUGUGUGUAUGUUGGCGUGUGUGUAUAUGUGUGUGUAUCCUGCAGUACUCUGUACUCCUGCAGUGGCCAAAAAGACUUUUAAGAAUGUGGAUUUUUGGGUCAUCUUUGGCGCCCCCUAGAACUGCAGUACUCUGUACUCCUGCAGUGGCCAAAAUGACUUUUAAGAAUGUGGAUUUUUGGGUCAUCUUUGGCGCCCCCUAGAACGUAAACCGUGGGGUGCAGCGUCAUGAUUUUUACAACUUUGAAUGGGCAUGGGGUGUAGAUUGCCCUGAGCAAAUUUGGUAUCGGUGGGACGAAAGCCUUAGGAGGAGAUAACCACAUUCCAAUGUGUGCGAAUCGGCAAAAAAUGCAAAAUAGCCCUUUAACCGUACAUUAUACAGAUACGCGCUCUUUGACUUUUUCGUAGAUCUAAUUGAGAUACACAUAAUUGUCAAUUUUUGUGUCAAUAUGACAAAGCGUUCAGGCGUGACACUCAACAAUGUGUAUUUUUAUGUAAGGGGACAAGAAAAAAUUGACUUUUUUCUCCUACCAUGGGGGGGCGCUCUUUUGGGGAGUAAAAAUUCCUUCACAAAUGUGUUGAUGGCUGGACAUUGCAUCAUCCUAGAAAACUUGGAGGCCAGUGAGGACAAAAAUAAAAAGUUAUAAAACUUUUAAGAAUGUGGAUUUUUGGGUUAUUUUUGGCGCCCCCUAGAACCUAAACCAUGGGGUGCAGCAUCAUGAUUUGUACAACUUUGAAUGGCCAUGGAGUGUAGAUUUGCCUGAGCAAAUGUGGUGCCGGUGGAACGAAAGCCUUCGGAGGAGUUAGCGAAAUUCCAAUGUGUGCGUAUCGGCAAAAAAUGCGAAAUAACCCUUUAACCGUACAUUUGACAGAUACGCCCGCACUGACUUUUUUGUAGAUCUUAUUGAGAUACAUGUGUGUGUCAAUUUUUGUGUCAAUAUGACAAAGCGUACAGGCGUGACAGUCAAUAGUGUGAAUUUUCACCUUAGGGGGCGCUAUGGAGCCAUUUUGCAUUUUAUUGUUUGGGUGACUUCAGAAUAUCGAAUUUUUCACCAGGCCCAGUCGUCCUGCCAAAUUUCAUGAGUUUUCGCCAGUGGGAAGUGGGCCAUUUUCCAGUUUAAAGCGGAGGAAAAAUAAUAAUAACUAGGACCCCGUUGGGGCACUGGCGGGCCCGAGCUGUGUCGCGUCCCCCCCCCAACGCGCUGCCUCCCCGUCCCAUUUGUGUCCUCUGGCCAUCGCCCUCUUUGGUAACGCCCAUCACUGCAAAGACCCUUUUCCUUCAUCGGCGUUUGCUGUUCUUCCUGCCAGUGCGUGUUGCUUUCACUUACACUUGCCACAGCCAGCCUCGUGAGUGCCUAGCCUAUUGGAUAUCACUGUCACCUACACAGGACAGUCACUACCUUUCUAUUAAUACUUUGUGUUUUAAUUUCACAUUAAUUUCCAAAUUGUAUAAACGACUGGAAAAAACUUGAGCCCCUGCCCCUGUAUAAUCAUGUGCACGUCUCUGUUCUAGCUCUAAGGUAAAUCUUCACUGCUCAUGUUCUCCUCAGAAGCAGUCACCUCACUCCCCUCAGGUUACUGUACACAUGCACCAACUGCCUGCUUCAGGUUUGGAUGGAGCUUCAUGGUUGUCUUUUGGAGAAAUGACCAGUCAAGUUGUGUUUGAAAUUUGAUUUUUUUCAGGGGCAAAAGGAGCCUCUGCAUUCUUGUCAAAUAUGUAAAUAGCAUGUUUUUGCAGGUGCUACAAACCAGACUCUGAGUGUGUGUGUGUGUGUGUGUGUGUGUGUGUGUGUGUGUGUGUGUGUGUGUGUGUGUGUGUGUGUGUGUGUGGCGUGUGUGUAUAUGUGUGUGUAUCCUGCAGUACUCUGUACUCCUGCAGUGGCCAAAAAGACUUUUAAGAAUGUGGAUUUUUGGGUCAUCUUUGGCGCCCCCUAGAACUGCAGUACUCUGUACUCCUGCAGUGGCCAAAAUGACUUUUAAGAAUGUGGAUUUUUGGGUCAUCUUUGGCGCCCCCUAGAACGUAAACCGUGGGGUGCAGCGUCAUGAUUUUUACAACUUUGAAUGGGCAUGGGGUGUAGAUUGCCCUGAGCAAAUUUGGUAUCAGUGGGACGAAAGCCUUAGGAGGAGAUAGCCACAUUCCAAUGUGUGCGAAUCGGCAAAAAAUGCGAAAUAGCCCUUUAACCGUACAUUAUACAGAUACGCGCUCUUUGACUUUUUCGUAGAUCUAAUUGAGAUACACAUGAUUGUCAAUUUUUGUGUCAAUAUGACAAAGCGUUCAGGCGUGACACUCAACAAUGUGUAUUUUCAUGUAAGGGGACAAGAAAAAAUUGACUUUUUUCUCCUGCCAUGGGGGGGCGCUCUUUUGGGGAGUAAAAAUUCCUUCACAAAUGUGUUGAUGGCUGGACAUUGCAUCAUCCUAGAAAACUUGGAGGGCAGUGAGGACAAAAAUAAAAAGUUAUAAGACUUUUAAGAAUGUGGAUUUUUGGGUUAUCUUUGGCGCCCCCUAGAACCUAAACCGUGGGGUGCAGCGUCAUGAUUUGUACAACUUUUAAUGGCCAUGGGGUGUAGACUGGCCUGAGCAAAUGUGGUGCCGGUGGAACGAAAGCCUUCGGAGGAGUUAGCGAAAUUCCAAUGUGUGCGGAUCGGCAAAAAAUGCAAAAUAACCCUUUAACCGUACAUUUGACAGAUACGCCCGCAC
Molecule: non-coding RNA, 8901 nt
Organism: Xyrichtys novacula (pearly razorfish)
Lineage: Eukaryota; Metazoa; Chordata; Actinopteri; Labriformes; Labridae
Source: the annotation of a GenBank genome assembly